RNAcentral lists this ribosomal RNA (600 nucleotides) under uncultured bacterium. RNAcentral describes it as "bacterial SSU rRNA". It matches the Rfam family "Bacterial small subunit ribosomal RNA", at positions 84 to 680 of the family's 1533-position model. The record is from RNAcentral.
UCUCUGAUUCAGCGGCGGACGGGUGAGUAAUGCCUAGGAAUCUGCCUGAUAGUGGGGGACAACGUUUCGAAAGGAAUGCUAAUACCGCAUACGUCCUACGGGAGAAAGCAGGGGACCUUCGGGCCUUGCGCUAUCAGAUGAGCCUAGGUCGGAUUAGCUAGUUGGUGAGGUAAUGGCUCACCAAGGCGACGAUCCGUAACUGGUCUGAGAGGAUGAUCAGUCACACUGGAACUGAGACACGGUCCAGACUCCUACGGGAGGCAGCAGUGGGGAAUAUUGGACAAUGGGCGAAAGCCUGAUCCAGCCAUGCCGCGUGUGUGAAGAAGGUCUUCGGAUUGUAAAGCACUUUAAGUUGGGAGGAAGGGCAUUAACCUAAUACGUUAGUGUUUUGACGUUACCGACAGAAUAAGCACCGGCUAACUUCGUGCCAGCAGCCGCGGUAAUACGAAGGGUGCAAGCGUUAAUCGGAAUUACUGGGCGUAAAGCGCGCGUAGGUGGUUUGUUAAGUUGGAUGUGAAAGCCCCGGGCUCAACCUGGGAACUGCAUCCAAAACUGGCAAGCUAGAGUAUGGCAGAGGGUGGUGGAAUUUCCUGUGUAGCG